UUCUCCUUCCUGCCACCAUGUGAAAAAGGACAUGUUUGCUUCUCCUUCUGCCAUGAUUUUCCCCUAUAUUCUCACCAGUAACUAAAAGCAUAGUGUCCAGAAUGAAUCUAAGUAGAAGAAGGGAAGACGAGAAGGACACAAGAAGGAAGACAAGGAAAAAUGUCGACCUCAAAGAACUAGAGGAACAACACUGGAGUUAUACGAAACACCCAGAAUUAGAAUCAGAGCAAUUUGAUUGGAUUUACUACAGCUGAUUCUAGAUACAAGAACUUUACCGAGCCAUUUACAAUUUUUGUGCUUCAAUUUCAUCAUUUUAAAACAGAAAGAAAGCAUUUACCUUAUACGCUUGUUGCUUAGAUUAUAAAGGAAUUAUCUAUAUAAAAAGUACAAUAAAGAAGAAUAUAAAUGUAAGAAUGUAGAGGGUCACAAACAUUGUUUGAAAUAUCCAUGCUUUUCAUUUUGGAGUGAAAAGAGGAAAAAUACUAACUGUAAAAUUAAAUUCAUUACUAUAUCAAAGUCAAGCCUGCCUAUCAAGUCAUUUGACAGUUAAAAAUGUUUUGUUUAUCCCAUAAACUUUAUGAAAAAACUAGUUCAUUGCCAAAGGGAUGUUACUUACAGCAAAAUCUCUAGAAGCUCUGAAAUAGAAUUUGAGUUUUAUUUGCAUUUUAUUUUUACAUUCUUACUACUCUACUAACUACAUUCUGCCUAAGUAAAUAUGCUCAAAGCUUUAAAAGUAGGCUGAAUGAAUCACUGGUGGAAAAAUAA
This 765-nucleotide long non-coding RNA is filed under the name Homo sapiens (human). RNAcentral describes it as "non-protein coding lnc-FTMT-2:5". The record is from RNAcentral. Lineage: Eukaryota; Metazoa; Chordata; Mammalia; Primates; Hominidae.